UAAAGCGUAAAAGAGCGUAGAGUGAAUGCCUUGGCAUUGGGAGCCGAAGAAGGACGUGGUUAACUGCGAAAAGCUACGGGGAGUCGUAAGCAGACAUUGAUCCGUAGAUGUCCGAAUGGAGCAAUCCGCAUGGAGUUAGUCCAUGCAUCCAUAAGUGAAUUCAUAGCUUAUGGAGGGGAACCGCCUGAACUGAAACAUCUAAGUAGGGCGAGGAAGAGAAAUCAAACGAGAUUUCGUAAGUAGUGGCGAGCGAACGCGAAAGAGGCUAAACCAAGAGAAGAAAUUCUUUUGGGGUUACGGACUGCGAUAUGUAUCUGAGGACUUAGCAGAAUGGUAUGGGAAAGCCAACCAGAGAAUGUGAUAGUCAUGUAUGCGAAAAGGAAUCAGAGCUAGCAGGAUCCAAAGUACCGCGGGACACGAGGAAUCCCGUGGGAAGUCGGGGGGACCACCCUCCAAGCCUAAAUACUACCCAAUGACCGAUAGCGAAAAGUACUGUGAAGGAACGGUGAAAAGAACCCCGGGAGGGGAGUGAAAAGAACCUGAAACUUUAUGCUUACAAGCACAUAGAGCACGUCAAAGUGUGAUAUGGUACCUUUUGUAGAAUGGUCCGGCGAGUUAUUGUAUGCAGCAAGGUUAAGGUCUUCAGGACUGAAGCCGAAGCGAGAGCGAGUCUGACAAGGGCGAUAAGUUGUAUGCAAUAGACCCGAAACCGGGUGACCUAGCCAUGUUCAGGUUGAAGUGGAGGUAAAGCUCCAUGGAGGACCGAACCGACCUCCGUUGAAAAGGCGGCGGAUGAAAUGUGGCUAGCGGAGAAAUUCCAAUCGAACCCGGAAAUAGCUGGUUCUCCCCGAAAUAGCUUUAGGGCUAGCGUUGUAUUAGAUUUCUGGGGGUAAAGCACUGAAUAGGCUAGGGGCCGAGAGGUUACUGAACCUUAUCAAACUAAGAAUACCAGAAAAUUGAUGUACAGCAGUCAGACUAUGUGAGAUAAGUCUCAUAGUCAAAAGGGAAACAGCCCAGACCCACAGCUAAGGUCCCAAAACAGAUUUAAGUGGAAAAGGAUGUGGGAUUGCCCAGACAACCAGGAUGUUGGCUUAGAAGCAGCCACACAUUAAAAGAGUGCGUAAUAGCUCACUGGUCGAGUGAUCCUGCGCCGAAAAUUCAACGGGGCUAAAAUUUGUACCGAAGCUUGGGCUUGAUACUUCGUAUCAGGGGUAGGGGAGCGUCAUGUAUGAGGUGAAGUCAUAGCGGAAGCGGUGGUGGAUUGUACAUGAGAGAGAAUGCCGGAAUGAGUAGCGAGAAUUAUGUGAGAAUCAUAAUGGCCGAAAAUCUAAGGUUUCCUGAGGAAGGUUCGUCCGCUCAGGGUAAGCCGGGAGCUAAGGUGAGGCGGAAACGCGUAGCCGAUGCACAUACGGUAGAGAUUCCGUAGCCUCCGAAAAGUAAAGCACAGGGACGCUUCAGAAGUGUUACGCCGGGCGAUGGUUGCCCCGGUUGUAAAGGACACAAUUGAGUGGAAGGUAACAUGGAUGGAGACAAGAAAAGCUGUGUGUAUCUGGAAGGAGCCCGUACCGCAAACCGACACAGGUAGAUAGGAAGAAGAUUCUAAGGCCAGCGGGAGAAGGGUUGUUAAGGAACUCGGCAAGUUGACCCCGUAACUUCGGGAGAAGGGGUGCUUACGAAGGUAAGCCGCAGAGAAUAGGCCCAAGCGACUGUUUAGCAAAAACACAGCUCUAUGCUAAAUCGAAAGAUGACGUAUAUGGGGUGACACCUGCCCGGUGCUGGAAGGUUAAGAGGAGAUGUGAGAGCAUUGAAUUGAAGCCCCAGUAAACGGCGGCCGUAACUAUAACGGUCCUAAGGUAGCGAAAUUCCUUGUCAGGUAAGUUCUGACCC
Molecule: ribosomal RNA, 1887 nt
Filed under: human gut metagenome
Description: bacterial LSU rRNA
Rfam family: Bacterial large subunit ribosomal RNA
Source: RNAcentral